Molecule: long non-coding RNA, 853 nt
Filed under: Anser brachyrhynchus (Pink-footed goose)
Lineage: Eukaryota; Metazoa; Chordata; Aves; Anseriformes; Anatidae
Description: lncRNA (ENSABRG00000011683.1)
Source: RNAcentral
AGCACAUGAUUUUUUUCCAAGUUUUAGAUAUGCUGGUACAUCAGUGUCCACAUUCCACCCGUUUGCAAAUUCAGUGAACCAAAUUCCAUUUUUCUUUCUAAUCAAAAGACCACUGAUGUACCUAAGCAUUUUCUUGCGGUAACACUGCCAGCUUAAGCUGACCCGCACCCCAUGACUCCCAGCCUUCCCCUGUUCCUAAUACAUACUGGCCCAGUACAAUUGUUCUUGGCACUGUAUCCUGACCUGGAUGAAGGCAUGGAUCCAGAUUAAAAGUAAGUACUUUUCUGGAUUGCUUUCAUCCUGUAUCAUUUCACUGAUCUGGCUCCCCAUGGUACCCCUGAGCAGUUGGUGGCUUAACGGACAGGGUGGCACGGUGAUGAAUACAAACUGCUCAAGCCAGUACUGCCACCAAAAGAAAUGUCUACUAAACUACAGGUUUUAGAUAUAUACCAAAUCCAGUUAGCAGCUUCUUACUGCCACUCUGGGAGGUGUUUUCUUUAAGAGCAGACUGUCAAUAUCCUGUUUACUCUUCACUUCAGAAAGGCGGGUUUUUGUUUGCUCGCUUUAGCAUGACAAACUAUGCUGCUAUUGCCAAACUACAAGCAAGAGAGAGCGACACCCUGGGGUGUCAGCCAGAGGCAACAGGCUGGUUUGCAGCCUAGACGUGUUUCUACCCACCACAUCAAUACCAUGGACCUGGUUUUCCUGGCAGAAUUUAUGGAAGAAUUUAAUGAAAAACAGAAGUUAUUCAGUAGAAAAGAAAUAAAGAUCAUUCUAGAUAUGAACUAAUUAUCUCAGAGACAGAGCAAGAUGAAGAAAUAAAGGUCAGAUUUGGAAGAGGGAUGAAUAGAUA